This 63-nucleotide transfer RNA is filed under the name Sinopyrophorus schimmeli. RNAcentral's name for it is "Elateridae sp. JWH-2018 tRNA-Cys". Lineage: Eukaryota; Metazoa; Arthropoda; Insecta; Coleoptera; Elateridae. The record is from RNAcentral.
GGUUUUAUAUUCAAUGAUGAUUUUAAAUUGCAAAUUUAAAGGUGAAUACUUAUUCUAAAACUU